AAUACCAUAGGCUGCAGGGCUUCAACAAUAGACAUUUGUUAAUAUUUCUUCUGAAAGUUGGGAAGUCCAAGAUUGAGGUGCUGGCAGAUUCUGUGUCUAGUGAGGGCCACUUUCUGGCUCGUAGACAACCAUCUUCUCCUUGUGUCCUCACAUGGCAAAAGGAAAGAACUCUGACCAUUUCAGAGUUCUGUGUAAAAGCACUAAUCCCAUUCAUGAAGACUCCACUAUCAUGAUGUAAUUACUUUUCAAAGGCCCUGCCUCCUUAUACCAUCACACUGGGGGGUUAGGGUUGCAGCAUAUGAAUUGGAAACUAGGGAACACAUUUUGUCUAUGGUACUAACCCACAUCCAAUUCAUGAGCAAAUCCAUAGGCUCCACCUUCAACAUUUAUUCAGAAGUUAACUUUGAUCACCACCUCCACAGCCACCAUCUUAGUCCAGGACAUCAUCAUCUCUUACUUGGAUUAUUGCAGUAGCUUAACUUGUCCCCCUGACUGUGCCAUUUCUAAGGCAGUCUGUCCUCAACCCAGCAGCUCUUCUGUCAGUUUGCCAGGACUUAGACUUCUAUGAAUCCAUGAAUGUGGGCUGGCUCUGCGAACACUGCUGUGAAGGCUACAUUUUUUUGCGGACCACCUAGGCACAGUUCUGGAGGCGAGCAAGUCCAAGAUCAAAGCACUGGCAGCUUCUUUGAGGGUCUGUUCCAGUAAAAGCAUCUUCUUGCAACAACAUCCUCACAUGACAGAGGGGGGAAGGGCAACAGGACAUGAAUGCUGUGCCCUCACCUGGUGAAGAGAGGAAGAGCAAAAGGGUCUCAGCUAGCUCCCUCCAGCCCUUUUCUAAGGUGCUAAUUCAUUCAUGAGUUAACCACUUCCCAAAAGGCCCUACUUCUCACUACUACCACAAUGGAGAUUAA
RNAcentral lists this long non-coding RNA (911 nucleotides) under Homo sapiens (human). Its description in RNAcentral is "HSALNT0391273". The record is from RNAcentral. Lineage: Eukaryota; Metazoa; Chordata; Mammalia; Primates; Hominidae.